UCAUUUGAAUGGUGAAAUAAAUCACGAUAAAUCCAGAACAACACUGGCCAUUCUUAAGAACACAGGUGUGAUAAAUGGCAAUAAGGACACUUGCUCUUGCACGUACAAUUCCACUUCACAUGCACAGACAACGCCUCAACGCAGAGACUUCGGUGACAGAUCGGCACUCAAGUCAUCACAGCUAGGAUUCGGCUGGCCUGUACAACAACAUCUGUCUUAUAGGAGAUCUGCAAGGCGGGGCAAAUAUCUAAGCUAAAUUGACAACUCGGUUGGGCAGUCACUCGGUUACGUUAUGACGCCACUGCGCAAGUCUGAAGAUCUGAGCAUUUCCGGAUGUGGGUGGAAGGCGGAUGCAGAUCCCGUCUGCGUGCACGGCUGCGGGAUUUACUGGCUUUGUCUCGUGAAAUUAACUCCCAAUGGACUGUCACGCACCUGUCAAUCAAUCAAUGUCUCCAGCUGUUCCUAAUAUACCAGGAAGAAGCCUCUGGACUGAUGGACUUAAUAUAUAUACAUCGAUCUCAUUUCACCUUCCUGCAAAAGGCCAGGAUCUUGGAAGAUGUGUUUUAUAAAUCAAUGAGACAUAUUUCCCCUGACAGCGUUGAGACCUAACGGAUGUGCUUGGAAUAGGUUUGGAAACCAGAGGGAUUAUUUUGAUAGAUAAUAUUUUAGAUCUUGAUAUGGAAACAUGUUAAGAUUUUAAAUAAGUGAUUAUUUGUGUUUUUUAUGCUUCACAGUUUAAGAGAUUAUAUUUUAUUUGUCAUUUACUGUUUGUGUGCAGAUACACGUUUUUGACUAUCUAACAGUACAAGCAAAUCAACGAGCAAGGAGUGGUUUUGGAUUUACGGUCGUUCUUUAUCUCCAGUUACCCCACGGUUUGUCAGCCCGAGAACAGCCCAUUAACUAGUUUCAGUAAUCAAACAAACAUCACCCUGUGACACGUCGCUUAUAUAAGUGCAAUAAUCUUGGACGCGACGUUAAACCCAAUUUCACCUCACCUCACCCUGUGAAGAUCCGGGUUAUAAUAGGUC
RNAcentral lists this long non-coding RNA (1028 nucleotides) under Haliotis rufescens (red abalone). RNAcentral's name for it is "uncharacterized LOC124141976, transcript variant X2". Lineage: Eukaryota; Metazoa; Mollusca; Gastropoda; Lepetellida; Haliotidae. The record is from RNAcentral.